Molecule: long non-coding RNA, 202 nt
Filed under: Mytilus galloprovincialis (Mediterranean mussel)
Lineage: Eukaryota; Metazoa; Mollusca; Bivalvia; Mytilida; Mytilidae
Source: RNAcentral
GCUCUCUCUUUCCAAGUCUCAUAGUAUAUUCAUAUAGACAAACUAGUUAAUUUGAUUAUAGUCAGGUUCCUUGCAUAUGAUCUUAGAUAUACAACAUUUAUACAAUGUAUGCUGAAUUUACUGUGUUAGAAUGUAAUACCGACCAUGCAAGGUUGUUAAAAACUUCCAUUUGUUAGAAUGUAAAAAUUUGCUUGAAUUUAUU